RNAcentral lists this ribosomal RNA (253 nucleotides) under uncultured bacterium. RNAcentral describes it as "partial 16S ribosomal RNA". It matches the Rfam family "Bacterial small subunit ribosomal RNA", at positions 524 to 776 of the family's 1533-position model. The record is from RNAcentral.
UACAGAGGGUGCAAGCGUUGUUCGGAAUUAUUGGGCGUAAAGCGCGUGUAGGCGGCUUUGCAAGUCGGGUGUGAAAGCCCUCAGCUCAACUGAGGAAGUGCGCCCGAAACUGCAGAGCUUGAGUGCCGGAGAGGGUGGCGGAAUUCCCCAAGUAGAGGUGAAAUUCGUAGAUAUGGGGAGGAACACCUGUGGCGAAAGCGGCUCUCUGGACCGUAACUGACGCUGAGACACGAAAGCGUGGGGAGCAAACAGG